CACUCCUGACUCCCUUGAGAAACUUUGUUCUUCCAAUUAGUUAAAGGAGGUCCCCCAAUGUUGGCCUGAGACCUGCAAAACAAUGUCAUGUUGCAAGAAAUUGAAAAAAAAAAAAAAACUAGCCGUAACAUGUUUGAGAAGUUUAGCACCUAAACUUUAGUGAACUUUAUCCAAAAACUUAUUGGACAAAGAAAUCAAACAGUAAUAUGAGCCGAAAAUGACUCAGCCAUUUGUUGUGCAUUUAGCAAAAGCCUCCAAACAGCCACAGUCUAAAGAUCAAGCAGAACAUAUCAAUGAGCUACAAGAAGACUAGGAAGAUCUUUGAACUUGCCUGUUCUUCUGUUUUAUCAUGCGCAACCUCUUUGUUUUCAUUUUUGACAUGUACACCACCGCACUGCUCCUUUAGUGUUGCCUUUUAAGAACUUUCCUCCCACGUUUAGGCUCCCUUGCAUUAAUUGGAUGACUCUUUACAGCUAGGGAUGUCUCCAGAAAAAUAGUUUGUUCGUAUAUCAAGUAAAACAAGGCUCACUUUGUAAGUAUUAACAUAAAGUGCAUUGUCAUAGGUAAAAAGUUAGCAUUGCAAAUGCCAAGCUACUCAAUUUUUUCAGUUGCAAUAUCAUAUGAAACCAAGAUUCCAUUGUUCACUCUCCACAAAAUUUCGCCAUUUUUCCUUGAAGCUAUUGGCUUCACCAAGAAAUCAUCAGAUAACGAAUAAAAAUCAUCAACACCAACAUUGAAUGUAAUGCGGUUACUGAUGCUGAAUUGCUUCACCCAUGAUUCUGGAUCACCAUAUUCUUUCAUCCUCCAAAUAUCAAUUGUUUUGUCCUUAUCAAACAAAUGAUCAGCCAAACAAAGCGACUCCUCUGAAACAAAAAGGUUAAACCAAUCCGCGUAAAACAAAAACAUCUGAGCUAAACUACCUGGUACCAUCAUCUCCCUAAACGUCUUUUCAUGCACAUCAAACAGAACAAUCAUCGCACUCGGAAACUCUCCUUGUUUCGAUUAAAUAGCAACCCAAUGGCAAGCCCCAUUCACAUAGACUCCUGGUUUCUGCUUAUAAAAUUUAUAGGACGGAGCAACAUGAGUGAUGUCUUUCCAAACACCAGUACUCAGCUUAUAAACCUCUAACAUAUGGUAGUACCGUAUUAAUAUUAAGUACUAUUCUUACCACCUUAUAGUCAUUAGUAACACGAUCAUAUCCAAAGCCCAAGCGUAUGAUCAAAAGGUGGACCAUACUUCUCAUACAUAAAAAUUGGUGUGGGUAGUUUUACCGACUUUCUAAUAGACGGACUCCAAAGAUAAUAAAAUUCCAAUAUCUAUAUAGGUCAUCAGAGAGGCACAAAAGUCCGAUACAACUACCCACAAUAUUGUAACCCACAAUAUUAAAGUGACUUCCCAACGUAUCAAAUGGCUCAUCAAAUUGGACAAACUCAUCAAACUUUUUGUUAUCAUAGGAUAAAGCAUAAAUAUCUUUUACUGGUUCUUCUUGGUUUUUUUUGUUGUUGAGGUGGAUGGAGAUAAAAGUAGGGCUAGUAAUAAGAGAAUAACCAUGACUUGCAUACAGUUGUGCAUUGAAUUAUUGAAUUUGUGGGCAAUUUAAAAAAGAUUUCAAUUAGUACCUCUUUUGGCAAAUAGUCAAGACAUAUUGCUUGUGUGAAAAAUCAGUGCGAUUUCCUUUCCCCUGAAAAGCCCUAAUUGCUUGACUUUCAUCUCAGUGAGCAAAAACUGAAAUUUAUCCUCAUCCAAAAUCAUCAUUUCCUUUCUAACCCCAAAACUUGAGAUUAGUGUAUUUUUAACCCUUCACUUUUUUUCUAUUUGACCUUAACUUUUUAAAUGGAUUUUAGGAGUGUGGUUAAAU
This 1858-nucleotide long non-coding RNA is filed under the name Capsicum annuum. RNAcentral's name for it is "long non-coding RNA (CANN_LNC001437)". The record is from RNAcentral. Lineage: Eukaryota; Viridiplantae; Streptophyta; Magnoliopsida; Solanales; Solanaceae.